AGCGAACGCUGGCGGCAGGCUUAACACAUGCAAGUCGAGCGGGCGUAGCAAUACGUCAGCGGCAGACGGGUGAGUAACGCGUGGGAACAUACCUCUUGGUUCGGAACAACACAGGGAAACUUGUGCUAAUACCGGAUAAGCCCUUACGGGGAAAGAUUUAUCGCCGAGAGAUUGGCCCGCGUCUGAUUAGCUAGUUGGUGAGGUAAUGGCUCACCAAGGCGACGAUCAGAGCUGGUCUGAGAGGAUGAUCAGCCACAUUGGGACUGAGACACGGCCCAAACUCCUACGGGAGGCAGCAGUGGGAAUAUUGGACAAUGGCGCAAGCCUGAUCCAGCCAUGCCGCGUGAGUGAUGAAGGCCCUAGGGUUGUAAAGCUCUUUGUGCGGGAAGAUAAUGACGGUACCGCAAGAAUAA
RNAcentral lists this ribosomal RNA (413 nucleotides) under uncultured bacterium. Its description in RNAcentral is "bacterial SSU rRNA". It matches the Rfam family "Bacterial small subunit ribosomal RNA", at positions 29 to 489 of the family's 1533-position model. The record is from RNAcentral.